CAGAGGUCCCAAGCGUUGUUCGGAUUCACUGGGCGUAAAGGGUGCGUAGGCGGUCAGAUAAGUCUGAUGUGAAAUCUUCGAGCUCAACUCGGAAACUGCAUCGGAAACUAUCUGGCUAGAGGAUUGGAGGGGAGACUGGAAUUCUCGGUGUAGCAGUGAAAUGCGUAGAUAUCGAGAGGAACACCAGUGGCGAAGGCGAGUCUCUGGACAAUUCCUGACGCUGAGGCACGAAAGCUAGGGGAGCAAACAGGAUUAGAUACCCUGGUAGUCCUAGCCCUAAACGGUGCACGUUUGCUGUAAGAGGAAUCGACCCCUUUUGUGGCGAAGCUAACGCGUUAAACGUGCCGCCUGGGAAGUACGGCCGCAAGGUUA
Molecule: ribosomal RNA, 372 nt
Filed under: uncultured organism
Description: bacterial SSU rRNA
Rfam family: Bacterial small subunit ribosomal RNA
Source: RNAcentral